Strigops habroptila (Kakapo) is the source of this 126-nucleotide small nuclear RNA. Lineage: Eukaryota; Metazoa; Chordata; Aves; Psittaciformes; Psittacidae. The record is from Ensembl.
ACACUGGAUGAAGUUAGAGAAGAUGGCACACUCCCCUUGAGAAGGAUGGAAGAGGUGCCGGUGACCCUGACAACGGGCUCAUGGUUGAAGGCACCGCCACCUCAUGGCACACAACCAAAUAUGACC